RNAcentral lists this ribosomal RNA (507 nucleotides) under uncultured bacterium. RNAcentral describes it as "partial 16S ribosomal RNA". It matches the Rfam family "Bacterial small subunit ribosomal RNA", at positions 28 to 523 of the family's 1533-position model. The record is from RNAcentral.
GAUGAACGCUAGCUACAGGCUUAACACAUGCAAGUCGAGGGGUAACAAGAGAAAAGCUUGCUUUUCUUGUUGACGACCGGCGCACGGGUGAGUAACGCGUAUCCAACCUGCCUAUAACUAGGGAAUAACCUUGCGAAAGUAAGACUAAUACCCUAUGAUUUCCUUUGAUGACAUCAGAUUAGGAAUAAAGAUUUAUCGGUUAUAGAUGGGGAUGCGUCUGAUUAGCUUGUUGGCGGGGUAACGGCCCACCAAGGCAACGAUCAGUAGGGGUUCUGAGAGGAAGGUCCCCCACAUUGGAACUGAGACACGGUCCAAACUCCUACGGGAGGCAGCAGUGAGGAAUAUUGGUCAAUGGGCGGAAGCCUGAACCAGCCAAGUAGCGUGCAGGAUGACGGCCCUAUGGGUUGUAAACUGCUUUUAUACAGGAAUAAAGUUAGCCACGUGUGGUUAUUUGUAGGUACUGUAUGAAUAAGGACCGGCUAAUUCCGUGCCAGCCGCCGGCAGUAA